This is a long non-coding RNA of Pogoniulus pusillus (Red-fronted tinkerbird), 310 nucleotides long. RefSeq lists it as uncharacterized. The transcript is spliced from 3 exons. The record is from RefSeq and is a predicted model, not a curated record. Lineage: Eukaryota; Metazoa; Chordata; Aves; Piciformes; Lybiidae.
GGAAGCUGCUGGCCGGGGAGCGGGCAGCCGAGAGAGGUCGCUCCCGGAGCGCAGGCGGCGUCAGACUUUUCUGCCUCGGUGUGUGGCUCACGUUCCCGCAGCUGGCGCUGCCCGGCGACAGGGGCAGCUCAAGCAGUCUGUCAGCAGAGAUGACAUCUGCCUGAGGGGUGUCCAGGCAUGCUCAGGAGUUGGUGCAGGCUCCAGACAGUUGCUGGGCUUCUUUCUGCAUCUUACCCGAGGACCCUGAGAGGUUACAACAUGAAGUCUUGAGCAGAGAAGAACGGAGCCCGGGGAGGGCCUGCCAAGAGCA